This 74-nucleotide transfer RNA is filed under the name Aedes aegypti (yellow fever mosquito). It matches the Rfam family "tRNA". Rfam says of the family: Transfer RNA (tRNA) molecules are approximately 80 nucleotides in length. Lineage: Eukaryota; Metazoa; Arthropoda; Insecta; Diptera; Culicidae. The record is from Rfam by way of RNAcentral.
CCUCUCAUGGCGUAGUUGUUAACGCGCCCCAACUAGAGAUCGGGGAGUCGUGAGUUCGAUUCUCACUGAGAAGA